UAUUUUUAGCUAAUUUGCAAUAGAAAGAAAGGCAGGGAACAGAAUAAUGCUGCUAUGGAUAACUACUAGCUUCUAUAACAGGAAUGACCGUAUGAUUAAGUGUUGUCAUGAAAGUAUUGGCAAGGAUGAAUAAGCAAUGAGACAAAAUGGAAAAUCUGACAAGCCCCAGAAAAAGAAAAUUAUUAAAUCGGUAUUUGGACAAACAUUGCAUCCAAUUGCCAACACUGCUUGGGUCAGUUGCCAAAUAUGACAAAACUUCUUUCUACUUCCAUUUAGCACUGUCAGUCCAACAUGAGAGACUGCACAAUGUGCCUACCGGGAGCCUUUCAAAAAAAAUAAUUAAGACAUACAAGAGAGGAAGGCACCAAGAGGCUAGUGCAAAACGUUCUGUGGGAUCGCUUCAGACACUUGAGAAUUAUCAUAAUGAAUUGCUGUCACUGUUACCAUGA
This is a long non-coding RNA of Lacerta agilis (Sand lizard), 449 nucleotides long. RefSeq lists it as uncharacterized. The record is from RefSeq and is a predicted model, not a curated record. NCBI's taxonomy places the organism in Eukaryota, Metazoa, Chordata, Lepidosauria, Squamata, Lacertidae. The transcript has 2 exons.